Molecule: ribosomal RNA, 301 nt
Filed under: uncultured bacterium
Lineage: Bacteria
Description: partial 16S ribosomal RNA
Rfam family: Bacterial small subunit ribosomal RNA
Source: RNAcentral
CAGUAGCCGCGGUAAUGCGUAGGGUGCAAGCGUUAAUCGGAAUUACUGGGCGUAAAGCGUGCGCAGGCGGUCCGCUAAGACAGAUGUGAAAUCCCCGGGCUUAACCUGGGAACUGCAUUUGUGACUGGCGGGCUAGAGUAUGGCAGAGGGGGGUAGAAUUCCACGUGUAGCAGUGAAAUGCGUAGGGAUGUGGAGGAAUACCGAUGGCGAAGGCAGCCCCCUGGGCCAAUACUGACGCUCAUGCACGAAAGCGUGGGGAGCAAACAGGAUUAGAUACCCGCGUAGUCCCUGUCUCUUAUAC